This 815-nucleotide ribosomal RNA is filed under the name uncultured bacterium. RNAcentral's name for it is "bacterial SSU rRNA". It matches the Rfam family "Bacterial small subunit ribosomal RNA", at positions 8 to 872 of the family's 1533-position model. The record is from RNAcentral.
AGAGUUUGAUCCUGGCUCAGAACGAACGCUGGCGGCAGGCUUAACACAUGCAAGUCGAGCGCCCAGCAAUGGGAGCGGCGGACGGGUGAGUAACACGUGGGAACAUGCCCUUCGGUACGGAACAACUCAGGGAAACUUGAGCUAAUACCGCAUACGCCCUAACGGGGAAAGAUUUAUCGCCGAAGGAUUGGCCCGCGCCUGAUUAGCUAGUUGGUGAGGUAAUGGCUCACCAAGGCUUCGAUCAGUAGCUGGUUUGAGAGAGCGACCAGCCACACUGGGACUGAGACACGGCCCAGACUCCUACGGGAGGCAGCAGUGGGGAAUCUUGGACAAUGGGCGAAAGCCUGAUCCAGCCAUGCCGCGUGAGUGAUGAAGGCCCUAGGGUUGUAAAACUCUUUCGGCGGGGACGAUAAUGACGGUACCCGCAGAAGAAGCUCCGGCUAACUUCGUGCCAGCAGCCGCGGUAAUACGAAGGGGGCUAGCGUUGUUCGGAAUUACUGGGCGUAAAGCGUGCGCAGGCGGCUUUUCAAGUCAGGGGUGAAAGCCCAGAGCUCAACUCUGGAAUUGCCCUUGAAACUGGAUGGCUCGAGUGCGGGAGAGGUGAGUGGAAUUCCCAGUGUAGAGGUGAAAUUCGUAGAUAUUGGGAAGAACACCGGUGGCGAAGGCGGCUCACUGGCCCGUUUCUGACGCUCAUGCACGACAGCGUGGGGAUCAAACAGGAUUAGAUACCCUGGUAGUCCACGCCGUAAACGAUGGACGCUAGCCGUUGGCAGGCUUGCCUGUCAGUGGCGCAGCUAACGCAUUAAGCGUCCCGC